AGACACUGAGAUAGCGACUAUAACCGACCUGCAUGCUGCUGACACAGACAGAGGAGCGAGAGUCAGAAGGGAUUCCUGCCGUCUUCUCCUGCAGUUAAACACCAGGCGGCGACGUUUUCUCACGUUCAGCUGGUGCUGCUGCCCUGCCGAGAGGAAGCUGCAACACGACAGACAUCACGGUGAAAAUACAGAUAAAAACUAUCUCAGAUCAAUCAUGCACUAAUGCAAAUACUGUAUUAUAAUAAACACUAGAAAGUAAAAAUACUUUCAGUACAGUCACAGGAAUGUAGAAUAAUAUCAGUAUAAUUAGAAAAGAACAUUAAUAUAAAACAUUAACUCAUUUUACAUUUAUUCAGUUGUAUGUUAGUUUAUUUGAAUUUUACUGUGAUUACAUUUUUUGCUUCCUAAUGUAUUUACAUAAGCUAAUAUUAUUUUUUACAGUAUGAAAUUAAGUUUUAAUUUUUCAAUCUCAGUUUUUAAGCCAAUGUGCCAAUUUUAAAGCAGUUCUUUAUAUAUCUCUUGGGUUUCCCCCUCUGGGAUCAAUAAAGUUUUAUCUUAUUUAUUUUAGUUUUGCCUCAUUUAUCUUGUUACCUCCUUGUGUCAAAUUAUCAAGACUAGAGCUGCAACUAACAGUUAUUUUCAUUAUUGAUUAAACUGAUGAUAUUCAUCAUUUUCUCUAUUCAAGAUAACGUCCAAAACCUCAAGAUAUUCAGUUUAAUAUCAUGUAAGAAAAGCAUCAAAUCCUCAUAUUGAGAAACUAAUAUUUGGAUUUUUUUCUUAAAGUGACUAAGACGAUUAUUCGAUUAUCAGAAUAUCUGAUGAUUAAUUAAUUAAUUGACUUAUCUUUGCAGUUCCUCUCAACACUGUCUUAGUAUCGUAGGAGAAUCUAAAACUGUGUCCGUUACUUUCUGACAUCAAAUUAGUCUGAAGAACUGCUGCUGUCACAGUUUUAUAUCGGACUGUUUUGUUGUUUUUUGGCAGAUUGUAAUUACUUACAGGCUGAAAUAAAUUCCAAUACUGUUGAUUAAA
Long non-coding RNA from Thunnus maccoyii (southern bluefin tuna), 1029 nucleotides. RefSeq lists it as uncharacterized. The transcript has 2 exons. The record is from RefSeq and is a predicted model, not a curated record. Lineage: Eukaryota; Metazoa; Chordata; Actinopteri; Scombriformes; Scombridae.